Molecule: ribosomal RNA, 521 nt
Filed under: uncultured Pseudomonadota bacterium
Lineage: Bacteria; Pseudomonadati; Pseudomonadota
Description: bacterial SSU rRNA
Rfam family: Bacterial small subunit ribosomal RNA
Source: RNAcentral
AGAGUUUGAUCAUGGCUCAGAUUGAACGCUAGCGGCAUGCUUAACACAUGCAAGUCGAACGGUAACAGGUCUAGCUUGCUAGAUGCUGACGAGUGGCGGACGGGUGAGUAACGCGUAGGAAUCUACCUUGUAGUGGGGGAUAACUUGGGGAAACCCAAGCUAAUACCGCAUGAGCCCCAAGGGGGAAAGCAUGGGACCGAAAGGCCAUGUGCUAUGAGAUGAGCCUGCGUCGGAUUAGCUAGUUGGUAGGGUAAAGGCCUACCAAGGCGACGAUCCGUAGCUGGUCUGAGAGGACGACCAGCCACACUGGGACUGAGACACGGCCCAGACUCCUACGGGAGGCAGCAGUGGGGAAUAUUGGACAAUGGGCGCAAGCCUGAUCCAGCAAUGCCGCGUGUGAAGAAGGCCUGCGGGUUGUAAAGCACUUUCAGUGGGGAGGAAGGCCUCGAUGUUAAUAGUAUCGAGGAUUGACGUUACCUACAGAAGAAGCACCGGCUAACUCUGUGCCAGCAGCCGCGGUA